Molecule: transfer RNA, 73 nt
Filed under: Stegodyphus dumicola
Lineage: Eukaryota; Metazoa; Arthropoda; Arachnida; Araneae; Eresidae
Description: tRNA-Val
Rfam family: tRNA
About the family: Transfer RNA (tRNA) molecules are approximately 80 nucleotides in length. Their secondary structure includes four short double-helical elements and three loops (D, anti-codon, and T loops). Further hydrogen bonds mediate the characteristic L-shaped molecular structure. tRNAs have two regions of fundamental functional importance: the anti-codon, which is responsible for specific mRNA codon recognition, and the 3' end, to which the tRNAs corresponding amino acid is attached (by aminoacyl-tRNA synthetases). tRNAs cope with the degeneracy of the genetic code in two manners: having more than one tRNA (with a specific anti-codon) for a particular amino acid; and 'wobble' base-pairing, i.e. permitting non-standard base-pairing at the 3rd anti-codon position.
Source: RNAcentral
GCCUUCGUAGUGUAGUGGUCUGCACGCUGGACGCACAUUCCAGAGGUUCAUGGUUCGAUUCCCGGCGAGGGCG